RNAcentral lists this unclassified non-coding RNA (356 nucleotides) under soil metagenome. RNAcentral's name for it is "partial contains 5.8S ribosomal RNA, internal transcribed spacer 2, and large subunit ribosomal RNA". The stretch from base 1 to 120 matches the Rfam family "5.8S ribosomal RNA", at positions 35 to 154 of the family's 154-position model. The record is from RNAcentral.
GAUGAAGAACGUAGCGAAAUGCGAUAAGUAAUGUGAAUUGCAGAAUUCAGUGAAUCAUCGAAUCUUUGAACGCACAUUGCGCCCGCUGGUAUUCCGGCGGGCAUGCCUGUUCGAGCGUCAUUUCAACCCUCAAGCUCUCCGGAGUUUGGUGUUGGGGCGCCUGGGGCUUUUCGACCUCAGGGCCCUCAAGUCCAUCGGCGGGACCGCCAGGACACUGAGCGCAGUAGUAUUAUUUCGCUCGGUAGGAUCUUCCACGGCGGGUCGAUCUGGCCGCUAAACCCCCCAAUUCUCACCAAAGGUUGACCUCGGAUCAGGUAGGAAUACCCGCUGAACUUAAGCAUAUCAAUAAGCGGAGA